AGCAGCCGCCGCGGUAAUACAGAGGUUGCGAGCGUUAAUCGGAUUUACUGGGCGUAAAGCGUGCGUAGGCGGCUUCUUAAGUCGGAUGUGAAAUCCCUGAGCUUAACUUAGGAAUUGCAUUCGAUACUGGGAAGCUAGAGUAUGGGAGAGGAUGGUAGAAUUCCAGGUGUAGCGGUGAAAUGCGUAGAGAUCUGGAGGAAUACCGAUGGCGAAGGCAUCCAUCUGGCCUAAUACUGACGCUGAGGUACGAAAGCAUGGGGAGCAAACAGGAUUAGAUACCCGAGUAGUCCCUGUCUCUUAUAC
RNAcentral lists this ribosomal RNA (303 nucleotides) under uncultured bacterium. RNAcentral's name for it is "partial 16S ribosomal RNA". It matches the Rfam family "Bacterial small subunit ribosomal RNA", at positions 507 to 807 of the family's 1533-position model. The record is from RNAcentral.